GAUGAACGCUGGCGGCGUGCCUAAUACAUGCAAGUCGAGCGAACAGACGAGGAGCUUGCUCCUCUGACGUUAGCGGCGGACGGGUGAGUAACACGUGGAUAACCUACCUAUAAGACUGGGAUAACUUCGGGAAACCGGAGCUAAUACCGGAUAAUAUAUUGAACCGCAUGGUUCAAUAGUGAAAGACGGUUUUGCUGUCACUUAUAGAUGGAUCCGCGCGGCAUUAGCUAGUUGGUAAGGUAACGGCUUACCAAGGCAACGAUGCGUAGCCGACCUGAGAGGGGGAUCGGCCACACGGGAACGGAGACACGGUCCAGACUCCAACGGGAGGCAGCAGUAGGGAAUCUUCCGCAAUGGGCGAAAGCCUGACGGGGCAACGCCGCGGGAGUGAGGAAGGUCUUCGGAUCGUAAAACUCUGUGAUUAGGGAAGAACAAAUGUGUAAGUAACUAUGCACGUCUUGACGGUACCUAAGCAGAAAGCCACGGCUAACUACGU
RNAcentral lists this ribosomal RNA (496 nucleotides) under uncultured bacterium. RNAcentral describes it as "partial 16S ribosomal RNA". It matches the Rfam family "Bacterial small subunit ribosomal RNA", at positions 28 to 506 of the family's 1533-position model. The record is from RNAcentral.